AAUCUAAAAAAGCAAAUUAGAUAAUUGAAUUAUGUCAUUUGAUUUUAAAAAGAAAAGAAACGUUUUGAAAUUAUUGAAUUUGGUGUCAUUUUUCAUGCUUGUGCUCUCAUUUUUCUAGGUCUAAACAUUUAGUCAACAUUCAAUUUUGUAUUUAAAAAUUGAAAGAACAGUAUUGUAAAAAAAGAACUUUUAUACCAUUUCCAUGUUUUUUUUUACAUUUUCUUUUAAUGUUUUAUGAUUAUUUCUGUCCCACAAACAAAUGGAUUUAGAUCUUUUUUAACUGCAUGUUUUCAGCAGUUUCUCCAUAAAUGCCUUCAUCAAACAUCAUCACUGCGUUCUUUGCUUUGUUUUAGAAAUUGUCUCCAGUGGAAACAGACGCGGAAAACGUCACUGAACCGGAGCGGGAAAAUGAUCCCCAGCCUCCGAAAAAAAAAACAGAAAAAACUUGGAGGUGCAGCCAAUAGCAGAGCAGAAAGCGGGGCUUCCCGCUCAACUGUCCGCCCCGCAGAGGUAUUUAUGCGGGAGGAGGCAGCAGGUGCAGCAGUUCACUGCAUCACAGGGUCAGCAUGACAGGAGAAUUGAAGAUGCAGCAGAAAAACUGGAUGCAGAGAACUCCAGAAAAAAGGAGAUUUGCUUCCUUUGAGGCUGAAUAUUCCACUAAUUUGAAGCAUUGGGCGACACCUGCGGCUUCAGAAUCACAUGUGACUCAUUUGUGUCUUCAUUGGAGCUCUCUGGCUUUGAAGAAAAAUGUUAACACUUUCAAAAAAUCCUUUUGCUUGUAAAAAUUUUGCUUAAUUUCUUUCAGGUAUUUUAAGUUUUUUCAUCUAUAUUUAGAUUUCUAACAUGCA
Molecule: long non-coding RNA, 848 nt
Organism: Oryzias melastigma (Indian medaka)
Lineage: Eukaryota; Metazoa; Chordata; Actinopteri; Beloniformes; Adrianichthyidae
Exons: 3
Source: RefSeq, a predicted model, not a curated record